Molecule: transfer RNA, 75 nt
Filed under: Caudoviricetes sp.
Lineage: Duplodnaviria; Heunggongvirae; Uroviricota; Caudoviricetes
Description: tRNA-OTHER
Source: RNAcentral
GGAUCAGUAGCUUAGUUGGUAAAAGCGGCGGCUUAUAUAAGCCGAAGAUCCACGGUUCAAGCCCGUGCUGAUCCA